Molecule: long non-coding RNA, 2035 nt
Organism: Sapajus apella (tufted capuchin)
Lineage: Eukaryota; Metazoa; Chordata; Mammalia; Primates; Cebidae
Exons: 2
Source: RefSeq, a predicted model, not a curated record
AAGUCAGCUUCUGUAAUCUUCUCUGUAUAUCCGUAGGUGCCUCUCUGUAUAGAUUUGGUAUUUAAGUAUUAUCAGCUACUUUUACACUCAAGUUUCUGCCCCCAAAUCUGUAAAUGUAUUUGCAUUUUCCCUUACCUUUUAUCCCUUUAUUUUUUUGAAGAGGCAUUUUUACUAGUGUCUAAAGCUAAUCUUGCCACCUAUGUUCCUAAUUUCCUCAGCCAACCAUUAAGUGUUUUAUAUCCAUCAUGUAAUAGGCACUGGUAAUACUAAAUGUAUAAGGCCGGACAUGGUGGCUCACACUUGUAGUCCUAGCUACUUGGGAGGCUGAGGCGGGAGGAUUGCCUGAGCCUGGGGGUUUGAGGCUGCAGUGAGCUCUGAUCGUGUCUCUUCACUCCAGCCUGGGCAACAAAGCGAGUCCCUGUCUCAAAAACAAAAAACCGGUGCAUGGUGAUAAACCAUACUGGGGAUGUAUAGGGUGCUGCUAUAGGAGCAUAGCUAUUUUUGAAGCCAUGGGAAGACGAAAAUGUCCAAGGAGAGUAGAAAUUGAGGAGAAAAGAAUCCUGAGGACAAACAUGGAAAGACUGUGGAGAAUGAGGAAAUUGCUAGUAGAGAGGUAGAGUAGAGUGAACCAACAAGAGUCUAGUGUGACAGAAGCUGAGCAGAAAAGUGCAUCUCAGGACACAGGUAGUGAUCAACAGAUACUGCGAAACAGCCAGGUAAGGACCUUCUCCCUCUUUCCUCUGAAGGCUCUGUUGGAUAAUAUUUCUGUCUGAAUACCACGUGUUCCUGCUAUUCUCAUGUGUUGAGCUCCUGAACUCAGGUGAGUGUGUGUAUAAUGAGUUUGGUGGCUGAAGGAAACCACAUCCAUCCUCUGAAUUCACUUUGUUCUUGAGUGUCAAAUCUGAACUAGUAGCUCAAGUUCAGAUAAUGGCUUAAGUGCAGAUAAUGAGGAAUUUGUCAAAAACUGUGUCCGAAAUACAGGCAGGGAAAUACUGGUGGGAAGCAGGGAGAUGGGAUAUAUCUAAGGGAUAUUUGGGUCUCCCUUUAUCCUGGUUCAGUGAAACUUCAUUUGACAAGACAAUUAUUCCUCAAUUCCACAUUUUCUGUUUCCUUUAUUGUCCUAGAAAGAGUUGUUUUAAUUCCCUGUUGCUACCUCUAGACUCCCAGUGAGUGCUAAAUCCCUUUACAUCUGUUGUCUUCCCUCCGGAUUAAGUGGAAUCUAAAUUUACAAAGUUACUUAAGAUCCAUUUGUUGCUAAAUACAGGGGAUACAUUUCUGUUGUUAUCUCAGCUUCUAGGCAGCAUUUGCCAUUGUUAACCACCUAAACCUUAGAAUACUUUUGUCUUUUCUGAAACACCAAAGUUUCUGGUUUUUUCUUAUCCCUCUGGUUAGUUUAUUUGUUAGCUUUUCUUCUCUGGCUCUCAAAGGUUAUAUAUUGUUCUGUAGCAUAAGCCCUCGUCUUCUCACUCUCUAUUGCUGGCUGAUCUGAUUUACUGCUGUAGCACAAGUUACCCUAAUUAACGCUUUGGGACGUUAAAUGAGCCUUAUGACACUGAUACAACUCUAUGUAGAGAUCACUGUAUUAUUAUUAAUUUGGACAUUUUGAAUAUAACAGUCAUGUAGAUUAUACAGAAUUCACACUGUGCACAUCUGUAUAUCUGGAAUGAACUCAUAGUGCAACAAUAAUUGAAAUAUUCCUGUUAUUUAGGCUAGAAUCAAACUGGAAUCUUAGAGGCAACUCAAUUAUUCUUGACUGCUCAAAAAUAUAAUUUUCAAAUCCUUUUUAUUAACUGAAUUGGGAAUCUAUAAGCUAAGAAGUAAUUAUAUUAAGCACCCUUUUAAAAUCUAGAUUUAAAUCUGCGUAGUGUUGAUUUUUAAUUCUUCUCAGUGGUUAUUCAUCUUGUCACAGUUUCUAAAAUUGUACUUUAAAGUUCCAUGAACAUUUCAGUGGAAUCAGGUUUUGUUUGAUAAACACUGCCCUCCUGUGGUUAACGUAAGCUAACAGUUUGGCAAAACUGCUGUAGUCUUUUCACUU